RNAcentral lists this ribosomal RNA (301 nucleotides) under uncultured bacterium. RNAcentral's name for it is "partial 16S ribosomal RNA". It matches the Rfam family "Bacterial small subunit ribosomal RNA", at positions 509 to 807 of the family's 1533-position model. The record is from RNAcentral.
CAGCAGCCACGGUAACACAGAGGGUGCGAGCGUUAAUCGGAUUUACUGGGCGUAAAGCGUGCGUAGGCGGCUUCUUAAGUCGGAUGUGAAAUCCCUGAGCUUAACUUAGGAAUUGCAUUCGAUACUGGGAAGCUAGAGUAUGGGAGAGGAUGGUAGAAUUCCAGGUGUAGCGGUGAAAUGCGUAGAGAUCUGGAGGAAUACCGAUGGCGAAGGCAGCCAUCUGGCCUAAUACUGACGCUGAGGUACGAAAGCAUGGGGAGCAAACAGGAUUAGAUACCCCAGUAGUCCCUGUCUCUUAUAC